This is a long non-coding RNA of Canis lupus familiaris (dog), 3428 nucleotides long. RefSeq lists it as uncharacterized. The transcript is spliced from 6 exons. The record is from RefSeq and is a predicted model, not a curated record. NCBI's taxonomy places the organism in Eukaryota, Metazoa, Chordata, Mammalia, Carnivora, Canidae.
GCUCAGCCCGGGAGAUCCUGGCCGGCAGGCUCAGAAUCCGGUUCUCACCUUCCUCCCAGGACGCCCACCUCGCUCCUGGCUGGGCAGGACUGUCACCACCUGGCCGGGGGGUGGCCCUAUGAUGCUGGCACCUGCUCUUCCCCAUUCCAGAACAACAGCACACCCCACGCCAAUCAGGCCCAGGCGUGGCUCGGGUGCACACUUGACCUGCGUGCCCACUGCAGAGCCUAAACCAGGCUGGGGCUGCUCCUGGAGGGCAGGGGGUGUUCUGAGCGGGGGGACUAAGGUCCAGGGAGCAGCUCUCGGUGCAGCUGCAGCAGAGAUGCCAGCUCGGGAAGACAGGCGGUGGGUGACAGGGAUAAUUGGCACCGUGAAGGCUGGGGGUCAGACCUACCACGCUGUGGCUCCAAACCCAGCCCGCUGUGACCAGGCACCUGCUCGGGCACUGCCUGUCACUCCCCUCCUUGCCACAACAUCCCCAUCUUUUUGUGCGUGGGGGGUUAGAACAGGGAGCAUCAAGCCAGCGGGAACGGCCUUGGUUCCUCUCCUUCCCAGAGAACCGAAUGCCCACACGUGCUCUGGUCCAGCGCGGAGGCUCCCACACCCGAGCACGCGUGACUUUUCCUGUGCGCAGCCGGGAGCCUGCAACCACACAUGCUGCCCGUGGGUGAUGCGGGGCCCUUUGGGGGAGCUCAGGCUCCCCGUGUGUGCAGAGCCCUGCGGCCACUGGACCGCAGUCCCACAGCCCAGCCUCGGCCACCUGCCCCUGCUCCCCAGUCACUUCCACUGCGCCCCACCCCGCCCACUCAGGCCAUCAAGACUUUUCUCUUGUCCCUCACGUGGCCGGAUUUGUUCAGGCAGCGGCCACAGCACCUACAAUUGUGCCCUGAGCAUUUGCUGCUGUGGACCCUUGAUCCCUGCUGAGGACGGCAGGUGCUCGCGGGGCUCACGGCGAACGUGGGAGGAUGGAUAGGACCCCGUGGGAGGCGCCGGGGAAGCCCUGCCCCUGCCCCCUUGGCAUCCGCUGUCCCCAUCGUGCAGCUAAGCCCGUCCUGCCUGUGGGAAGUGCCAGCGGCUGCAAUCUAGGGACUAGCACCCUGUAGGGGACAAGGGAAGUUGUGGAUGGAGCCCAGCUCCUCGCCGUCUGGGGGCCUGAGGCCCGCUCUCUGCCGUGUCCCCGGUCCCAGGACCUCUCCCUGCAGCAGAACCAGCUCACUGGCCCUCUGCGGCCUGGGCUCCUUCCGUCCCUGCCUCACGAUCCAGCCCCCCGACAGUGCCUGGAAAAGCCAACCCUUUGCUCAGUGUGCCCAGCAGCCUUCGGUGACGGUUCCUCCUCGGGCACAGGAGGUGCCUCAAAGCCCUAAUCCCGGGGGUGUGGAUAUCCCGCCCCAGGGAGGACAGCAGGGACAGGUGGGUGGUUUCCUUCCCUCGGGCGUUGGAUCUCAGGUUCCUGGGGAAAGUGGCACCUUUGGUCUCCUGCCUUCUCCUGCCCCACAGACAGAUUAAACCAAACAAGGUGGAAAAAAGUUGUCAUUAGAAAAAAAUCUUGUGGCCAACGGCUGCCCGAGGCCGGGGUCUGGGAGGAGAGACGGAGCUAAAAUGCUUCGGAGAACCUAAGGCCUGGAACCCGGCUCCAUCCAGAAAGAGCUUCGCAGCCGGGACCCCAGCGACAGCCACGGGUGGGAGCAAAGAAAGUUUCCAGACUCCUCUCUUCCAGAGAUAGUUUCAAGAGCUUUAUUUUUCUUGCCAGUUGGCUAAGAAGCAAAAAAAGGAACAAUAGAUUCAAGCUGAAAUAAUUUGCAUUUAUGAUGAACACAAGGAAUAUCUACCUUGCAUUUUCCUAAAAAAGAAAAAUUAAACCCCGUUUUUAAUUAACUGAUAAACUAUUAAUCAAAUUUUUGCAAUGUUAGGUGACACAUUAUUCAUUUAGAUAGAAUGACUGUGAACUUAAACUAAUCAAAUCUGAUUUGCCCACAUAGGCUUGAUUGAAAUACAUUUUAACUAGCAUAUACAAAGAGAAAAUCUUGGAUUUCUUACCUAAUCUUCAGAGUAUACUGCUGAGUUAAUAAGGGCAGUUUUUUUUUUUUAAAUGAGACCACCAUUUCUUCAUCUGCAUAUCAAAAUCAAGAGGAACUUAAUUGCAAAACACAUAUUCCUGAAAUCUAAUCAUUACACUGCUUUAGGGUAUUUUAUUGAAGCAUGUUAAAUUAUGGACAGAAUAUUAAUGAUGGAGCUAAUCAAACCCAAUUAGUCACUUCUAACAAUAGUCACAUAAAUAUACAAGUCAGGUACUAAAGUACUGUAGAUAUGAUGUAAAAUUGUUAAAAUAUUAAAUGUAUGGGAUAUUUAUGAAAUAUUCAUGUAGAAUUUAAAGCCAAAAAUCAUCGGGUAAGUCACUUUAAAGAAAACAAGUUAGGCAGUGUCCUACAAUAUUUGACUGGAAUUCACAAGUUUUCACCUAUUCUUCAGGUACGUUCGAAUCCAGGGGAUUAGCGAGUCUAUAAUCAAUCAAUCAGCAAAUUCUAAUAAGGCCUGCUGGAAGCGUAGGUCUGGAGUCUUGGGGCCUUGGAAAAGCUGCCGGAGGGGUGCAUAGAGCGUUCCGGGGCCGUGGCAUCUGGCGUCCACCCCCAUCGCCGGGGCAAAGCCAGGCAGGACAAGGCAGGGAAGCCCCUGCCCGGCGGAUGUCCCCCUCCUCCCGCAGGUGAGGCUUCAGGAACAGAUGCUCAGAGGCCCCGGGGAGUCCCAGCUUUGGCCUGUGAGUGAUCUUGGUGGAAGGUUCCAGGCCCGGGAGCCGGGCCAAAGCAGCCACUCUGAGUUGUGUUUCCUGUCACUUGCAACCCGAAGAGUCCUGGCCAGUGACGGGAGAGAAGCAGAGAGACCAGCUUUCAGCUUCGUGGGGUCCAAAGCAGAUGAGCAGACCAGUCUGUCUUCCUCCUGCAAGCAAUCAGGCCUGGGGUGACGCUUUCAUUUUUGUCGAAAGGGGGUUCCCCAACGGCCCGGCCUUAUCUCUGCUCUGCAAGGCCUCCCAGGCCCGAAAAAAGCAGAAAAACUCUGCUUCAUUCAAGACAGGAGAGAACCAUCGAGGUGACUUGCCUGAAUUUCCCUGGAAAGUUUCCCCGGGGAACAUCCUGAAGCAAUUUGUCAGCCAUCAAGGCGCCAUCAAGUCACCUGAACUUUUCGGUUACCCAAAAAGCGGUAUUGAAUCACCUUCAAAGGAACCCAUUUCAAAGGUGCCUUUUUCAGUUGUCGAAGUCAUUAAACCAAGUAUCAAGAACCAGGCUUCGGAGCUGCUGCCUCGCAAAGUGUUAAUCAAGAUUUUCAAAAAUAAUGAAGCACAUUUAAUCACAUUGCCACUCACGAAGAACAUCAUAAUUAAUAUUUGGGUGAGAGCAAAAAGAUUAUGUUGUUAAUAAAUAAGUUAUUUUAAA